Long non-coding RNA from Alligator sinensis (Chinese alligator), 4747 nucleotides. RefSeq lists it as uncharacterized. Lineage: Eukaryota; Metazoa; Chordata; Crocodylia; Alligatoridae. The record is from RefSeq and is a predicted model, not a curated record. The transcript is spliced from 3 exons.
CGUCCCCGCUCCGGCGGCCCUUCCUGGCCCGGGGCGACCAGCGAGCCGAGCCCCGCGGAGGGCAUCCCCGACCGCCCUCGGGACCCGGGGAGGAGGAAUAACAAAUUUCUAUAAUCCUCUGUGAAACAGUGGACUGAAGAAACUACCUUGAAGUUCAAGUAAAGAAGUCUGUACCUCCAGGGACAUCUUCAGUGAUGGGGAAUCUCAUUCCAAAAUUUAUGGGUUAUGCUAAAAGAGCUGCAUAAGUAGUUUCUUUAAUGAAGACAUGGCACGGUGUGGCCCCAGGAAUUUCAACCACAAUGAAUGAUUUAACAGAGACCAGACUUGGUCUUUAAGCAGCACAAAUGUCUGCCACAUGUUCCUAUUUGGAAAAGAGGGGAGAAAAAGUCAUGUUACCUUUUAAAAGAUGACAUAUUAUUGCAGAAGCAAAGUUCUGUGGCAGGAUGAAGAGGCGAUUUCUGUAAAUAACGUUUUUUAUCACAAGUUUUAAAUUAUAACAAAUAUGAAGUAAAGAUGUUUAAGCCAUGACAGGCUGUGUAUGCCACUGUGUUCUGGAAAAAUGUUUUGUAAUUCACUUCUCUUUAAUUAACUGUAAAUCAAAGACAGUUAACCUAAACCAAAUGCAAAUCCCUUGAAAUCAACUAAGAACAUUUAAAUCCUUCAUCUUUAUGUCCAGUAUCCCAUGGCAAGAUACUCUUUAGCACAGUACAAGGCUAUCAUAGGAGAACAAGCUAAAAAAAGCAUUUGCUACGAAGGCCAGCUAUACUUCUACAUUAGCAUGAUGUUAAUAUUCCCCCAUCUUUUAAUUGCCAGCUUGGUUUAUUUAUUUCAAGUUAAUGAUUGCUGUAAUUACUAAUAUACUGGUCAAUUACAGUACACGUCAAUAUCAUAUACCGUUGUUUGGAUUUUGAACCCCAUGGAAUAUUUUUUUUGUGGAGCAGAAUCUUGAGAAUGGAAAAAUGUGAUGGAUUCUCUUUGCCUGUUGGAAGUUGGAACAUGCGUUUUGUCAUGUUAUUCAGAACUAAAAAUGUAGACCACCUGGGCAGACAUGCUAUGUUAAAACGGCACUAGCUGUUAUUUUCUAUAUUUUCUAUAUAGCCAUUCAGCACAGGGAUAAGGCAAAACUUUGUAGCUUUACAUUUAAGUCAAUUUGAGAAACCAUUUCCUAAAAUAGACCAAGUGUUUUUACUAUUGGUAAUUCAGCCUGGAAUUGUCACUUGAUUAUGGAAAGGAAUAGUUUGAGUAUUCAUCUUCUAGAAGGGUACAGAAACUUUACAUAAAGAACAGCAGGAGACGAGUUUUCUCAUGUUUGAAUAAAAUGUCCUGCUUUAAGCAGAAUACCGACAGUAACAUUCUUUGGUAGUUCUAAAGCAAGGCAACUGAUUCAUCUAUAGACAACUUCAUCUUGACAUAAAGAAAAAGAGUAGUUUACAUUUUAUAGGGUUGUGUUUUUAUGUUUCUUUUUUCAUUUUUUUCAGUUUUGUUCCCCCCCACCCCCCCAUGGUUUUGCACAGUUAGUCUGAUUAGACAUUGUUUAGAAAUUAGUGGUCCAAACAGAAAGCUUUCAGUGAAGCAGAUCUAUCUGCUCCAAGUAAAUAUAUGGGAAGUCUUGCCCUGGGUAAGUACUCCAGGACUAUGCUAUAUGCAGUGUAGCCUGGCUUGAGUACAGGUUGCUAGAGGGGGAUUCAACACUGAAGUUAGAAUUUUUUUUGUGUAUUCACUCACAUAUUCGAUACUUGACUUGCUGGUCAAUUUCUCAUUUGGAAAAAUGUCAUUUGGAGUUUUUGCUCUUAAUUUAGUACCACUUUCUAAAUAGUAGCAGAGUUGUGAAUGUUAAAAAAAUGAUUUAUGUGUAUUGGGACUGUCUUUCAUCUAACUAGCAAUCAGAGCGAAUAUUUAACAUGCUGUGUGCAAACACUUAAGCAAUUAAGUGAAGUAAAAGCUGUCCGUAAGUGUUUGCUGAAUUGGGGCUUUAACCAGUAUAGGGAUCAGAUGCAUGUACUGAUAGAUCCCUUUUAGCUUUGAUAGUACAGUUCCUGACUUAUUUCAGACCUUAUUUAGUACAGUGCCUGUAUGACAGUUCUAGUGAAGAAGCUAACUGGUUUUGUAUUCUUUUUCUUUCAGGUUUAAUGUGAUAGCAUUUCCUGAAAAUGUCCUCACAUUUGUGGGAAAUCACUGUGACGUCCAGUCAUAAAAAUAAUCCACAGGCUUUCCACAAAAGUUUGAAAAUUACCUUUUCCCCCCUAAUAAAAAUGUUUGCUGAUGUAGUGUACUAGAAAACAAACAGCAUUUACAAAACCAGUAAUUAAUAAGAGUAAAUCAAAAGUGCUGCAAAAAUAAUUUUAAGGCACUUUUUUUUUUUUGCCGUUACGUAUGUUAGGAAUGAUCGCAUUGGGCUGGAAACUGCUUUUACUAUUUACUCAGUGUAAGUGAGAGCAGAAUCUGGUCUUCAUUAGUAGUAGUUGGGCAAGUAGAAUUUCCUUUAUACACUAUUUGCAUAAUUGCAGCCAGAUGAUUGAUUUCUCUGACAUUUUCUAGCUGGUUUCCUAUUCCAUGGCCUCUGUCUCAUACUCUGUAAGCCUAAGCAUGCCUACUAUGAUUUCUCCCCUUCUUUCCCUAGUUGUAUCUUGAGUGACAGAUUGAACAAGUCAGCUAAAGUGAUGAUACACGCCUUUCUAGCAAACAUUACCAGCAGAUGUAAAUCUACAAACCAGUUGCAUUAAAAGGAACCUUUAAUUGCUGUAAUUCCAUUUGUAUGGAUCUUGUUUAUACCUUAAAACUAAUUCAAAGGAAUUAUUAGCAAAAGAAUAACUGUUUUCUCAAUCAGUGUAAAAACCAUGAAAUAAAAUGGCAAUGCUGUGGACCAAGGCUGUCCAACUUCUGGAAAGCCAGAGGCUGCAGGCUCAGGGGCCACACACUGAAUGAGUAGAGUGGGCACCCUGACCAGUGCACCCCUGAUGUAUGCAUAGUGUGGGCAGUCUGGCUUCCACUUCUCUUGGCUGCUCACACUGCACUGGCUGCCCAGUGCCCCUCUGCCCUCACCACCACAUGCAUAAUAGCAUGGGCAGCCCCCACUCCCAUGGUACCAGCAGCCUGACUCUCCCCUGCUGCAUGCGCAGCACCUACUUAGUGUGGAUAGCCAUACUUCCUUUGUCACAUGUGCAGCUCAGGUGCUCCAGCCUGUUUCUAGCUCCUGGGGCAGGACCAACUGGGGGGAGGAGGAGGAAGAGUGGCAGCCAGUAAAGAGACCAUGGACUAUAUGCCAAUGUUUUAGGGGCCUCUUGCGGCCCACACACCACCAGUUGGACAGCCCUGCUGUGGACCAUACCUGUUUAAUAAUAUUUAUGCAGUAACAAAUGUGAAUUCCAUGCAAAAUGUAAUCCCUUGUAAAUAAAUAUCUGAGAAUUUCAAUUCCUAAAAAGAAUAAGUUAUUCACAUACAAGGUGUACCUUUCCUAUGCUGUUUGGUUAGCUAUCAACAUGGUUGCUUUCAGUACCUCUGCUUAUCUAUUGUUUAGGAGUAGCUUUUGCUUUUCUUGCUUUAUGGCAUCCAUUUAUGUUGCCUGCUCUACAGAUGCAUUAUAUUUUAUAAGUGCAGAGCUUAAGGUUGGCUUGUUCUAUGUCUAGUGACACCUAGCAUUUUUUACUGGAAUAAAAAUCUGAAGUUUUAGAGAGCUAUAUUUUUCCUAGCUUGAGCCUUUUGCAGGGAUUUUGGUACAGUUGUAAAAGUUAAAAAGGAGGAAGAAGAGGAUAACUGGUAUCUUUAGAGUAACUGUAGUAAGAGUUGCUUAAUAAAUCAGUGUUUAAAUGAUUUAUCUUGCAAUUGUUCUGUGGACCAAACCUGCAUUGGAUUGAAUAGGAUUUUUAUGUGUAUUUUGAGAAAACAGCAAGGGCUUAAAUCAUUCUUUAGAAAAAAGUACCACUUAAAUAGGAAAGUUUGGCCAAAUACUGCUUUCAGGCAAUUCACUGUAAACAUGGAAUAGUUCCACUAAUUUCCACUUCUACAGCUUAAACCAUUAUUUGGUAUGCACACUCUCUAGGGAUAUUCUGCAUUCAUAACCUGUGCAGUCUCAUUCUCUAUUCAUUUUGGCUCAAGAAAUGGGAAGUGUUGGGAUAUAUUUACUAAUGGGAAGUGCUGGAAUAUACUUACUAGAAUUAGUAUGCUCUUUUGUAUAUUAGAAGCUCUCUUAGCUUCCCAAGUUACUACCAUAUGCCCUGUAGGAAGGAGAAAAGGUAAUAUCUCAAUAGAAAAACAACAAACUACUAUAUAUUUAACCAAAAACAAACUAAAAUAAUGGUAGAUGGAAGGGGACUAAAAGUAGUAUUUUUAGCCAGAAACAAAAACACCGCCAACCUUGUUAAAAUGCUUUACUAAACAUGGUCUUAUGUGAAACUAUGUUAGGAAAGUGUGUAUAUUUUCAUAACGGAAGCACAUCUCAAACAAAUAGUGUUUUUCAAUAAGCUAGUUUAUUGCAGCAACCUGUGCUUUGCUUUUAAGUUUUAAUGUUAGUGAUGGAUAAAUACUAGGCAAAUUUGUGAAAAUUCAAUGAAACCAUGUUGAUGCAGCCACUUAUCUGUCACAAAUUAAUUGAUGCAAUGCUUCAGACACUGUGCACAAUUCAGGUGAAUUACAUGUGUAACUGAUAUAUUAAACAGUUUGUUUUUAAAUCACAGGCAAAAAAAUCACUGUAAAGCUUUUUAUGUACUCCAAUUUAUGCUGUAGUGGAAUAAAUAAAUAUAAAAAAGAA